Molecule: ribosomal RNA, 429 nt
Filed under: Capnocytophaga sputigena
Lineage: Bacteria; Pseudomonadati; Bacteroidota; Flavobacteriia; Flavobacteriales; Flavobacteriaceae
Description: bacterial SSU rRNA
Rfam family: Bacterial small subunit ribosomal RNA
Source: RNAcentral
GAUGAACGCUAGCGGCAGGCCUAACACAUGCAAGUCGAGGGAGAAGCCUUCGGGCUGAAACCGGCGCACGGGUGCGUAACGCGUAUACAAUCUGCCUUUCACAUAGGGAUAGCCCGAAGAAAUUUGGAUUAAUACCUAAUGGUAUAUAGGAGCGGCAUCGUUUUUAUAUUAAAGCUACGGUGGUGAAAGAUGAGUAUGCGUUCUAUUAGCUAGUUGGAGAGGUAACGGCUCCCCAAGGCGACGAUAGAUAGGGGUUCUGAGAGGGAUGUCCCCCACACUGGUACUGAGAUACGGACCAGACUCCUACGGGAGGCAGCAGUGAGGAAUAUUGGACAAUGGUCGGAAGACUGAUCCAGCCAUGCCGCGUGCAGGAUGAAGGUCCUAUGGAUUGUAAACUGCUUUUGUAAGGGAAGAAUAAGGGGUACGUGU